UACGUAGGGGGCAAGCGUUGUCCGGAUUUAUUGGGCGUAAAGAGCGUGUAGGCGGCCAGGUAGGUCCGCUGUGAAAACUCGAGGCUCAACCUCGAGAUGUCGGCGGAAACCAUCUGGCUAGAGUCCGGAAGAGGAGAGUGGAAUUCCUGGUGUAGCGGUGAAAUGCGUAGAGAUGGGGGAGAACACUCGUGGCGAAGGCGGCCAGCUAGACCAGUUCUGACACUGAGGCGCGACAGCGUGGGGAGCAAACAGG
RNAcentral lists this ribosomal RNA (253 nucleotides) under uncultured bacterium. RNAcentral's name for it is "partial 16S ribosomal RNA". It matches the Rfam family "Bacterial small subunit ribosomal RNA", at positions 524 to 776 of the family's 1533-position model. The record is from RNAcentral.